Molecule: non-coding RNA, 1313 nt
Organism: Bactrocera oleae (olive fruit fly)
Lineage: Eukaryota; Metazoa; Arthropoda; Insecta; Diptera; Tephritidae
Source: RefSeq, a predicted model, not a curated record
AAGCUGUUGCUCUUAUAAUGUUUGAUGACGUUGCGCAAUUUCUGCCGCUAUGCUUUUGGUUACAUUGACGUCGGUACGACAUUGUCAUGACUGACUGGAUUCAAUUUAUACAAAAAUACAAAAUCAUGAAGAUUUGCUCGAGGAUAUUCGGGUUGAUGCAUCUGUGAAUCUAUUACCUAAGAAAGAUUUACUAAAAUUCGGUGAACAUUUACAAAAUGCCACAGUAUCGGUAGGGCGAGAGGCGGUGCAAUGUGUUGUCGAUAAUCUGCAAAACUACAAAUUCCUUCAAUGAUUUGGAUACAAAAUCAUAUUGUUGGUGCUGCCACCGGCCAAAAUAUAGCACUUGAAUAUCUGUCAGAGGCGCAUCCGAAAUAUAUCAAUUACUAGACGAAAAAUGACACGAUCACUGUGUCUGACAUUUUAGAAACAACGACAGUAUCCACAAUAGUACCGACGGUGGCUCUAAAUACCGUGCCAGUGGUGGUUGCGAAAUAAAACAACAAAGCUUUCCUUUGUAAGUUCGAGUUGAUUUCCAAUGUACUCUGCGGUACAAAAUCAGCUGGUUUCAACGGCAACUGGUUUCAACUGCAGUGAAUUCUUCAAACACCUUUUGUCUAAUCAUAAUUUACGUCUUUAUGAGGGUUGUUUGGUAUGUCUCACACAAGGAUUGUACAUAUUGCUCAGGAAGCACAAAAGUUGAUGGGUAAUUCGUUAUUUAAUAUAGUGUAGCAAUUGCAGUAGUUCCACAUAGCAGCAACAUCUCAAAUGGGGCCAACUUCCGAUAAUUUAUCUCUUUAAGCAUCGGAAAGGAUGAUUCUAUGAACCACUAGUGCCCAAUAUUUGAAGAGCUUGAGAGACGAAGUAAAAGAAGUUUGAGCACGCUAGAUCACGUCACGCUGUGCAGCUCAAAAAUAAUUUUAUGCAGUCUUAAUAGAUAUAACGACGAAUUCGUAUAAGUGCUAGCACAAGAAGAUGAAGAUAAACAUUUCACAGUUCAGAAUCAGAGGUGCUAUUAUUAAAAACCAUGAAUUUUAAGAGGAGUUCAAAGUGAUAUUAUUAAGAUAUUAUUCUUCACUUCUUACAAUGGGGCUCGGGACGGAAUAUUUAAUUUGUUUUAUUUCCCACAGGACUACGUAACAUGUUAACUGAAAUAAUAUAUCAACCAGUAAUCAUACAAAGCGAGUUGAACAGCCAGCGUUUAGAACUUUAUACGAAACUUAUGAGCGAUGCCGAAAGUGCUACUAGCAGCUACUUAGUUAAGAGUGCUUAUUUAUAAUAAAAUAAGUAAUGGUUAGUUUUUAUCUUAAAUUCAG